GAAUCAUUUAACGAUCCACCUCCGCCCAGAAGAAACGCAUUUUUUUCAGUCUUAUCUACCAUGACAAAGUUAUGUCUGCCUUUUAUAUUUUUCAGUUGGACCGUCCUCGUCAAUGCUAUCGAGGCUAAGAAUUGCACCACUGACAGCAAUUUCUCAACUUCCUUGGCGAAAUUCUCGGUAUCUCUCUACCAGGCUACUUCUAACAGUAUUGGAAAAUAUGACAAUCUCGUAUUAUCUCCGUCCAGUAUUUCUCUGGUUUUAGCCAUGGCGUUGAUUGGAGCGCAAGGUAACACCGCCAAGCAAAUCAAAGAAGCGUUUCAUGUGACUACCCAAGAUGACGAGACGAUUGCUUGCAAUAUCGGCACCUUAAACAGACCAACUCAAGGAAGUGGCGUUACUCUGUCAACCGUGAAUCGUGCCCUGGUUUCAGAUGACUUUCGCUUGACGGAAUUCUUCCGUUCAACGUUACAAAAUCAAUUUUCUGCUACGGUAGAAAACGUCAACUUUUCUCUUCCUUCCACUCUAGAAGCAGUUAACAAACAAAUCGAAAAGUUAACCAACGACAAAAUAAGAAAUUUAAUUCCAAAAGAUUCUCUUGGGGCUUCCACCAAACUGAUUCUGUUGAAUGCCAUCUAUUUUAAGGGCAACUGGCUCAAAGCAUUUGAUUCCACUAAAACCAGAGUCAGACCUUUUUAUGUCAGUCCCAACCACAAGCCCAUACCAACAAAAAUGAUGGCCAGUCGAAAUUAUUUUCGCACAGCGUUUAUCAAAGAAGCAAAUUUGCGAGCUCUCGAGUUACCUUAUUCGGGCUCGCAAUUCAGUAUGGUUAUUCUUCUACCAAACCAACUCAAUGGAUUGACUCAUUUAGAAUCUUCAUUAUCUCCUAAACUCCUCAGCUUUAUUGAUAGCAAAUUGAACAAAAUUCAAAUGGACGUCGUUAUUCCGAAAUUCAAACUCGAAUUUUCCCCUGAUCUUAAAAGUGUCUUGAGAAGUGUGGGUAUCGUUGAUUUAUUCAAUACCGAUGCUGAUCUCUCCAAAAUUUCAGGCUCUAAAGAAUUGUUCGUCUCCGAUGCUUUCCACCGAACCAUUAUUGAAGUAAAUGAAAAAGGAACUGAAGCUGCCGCUGCUACAGCAUUCAGGUUUAUAGCGCGGAGUUUCAGGCGAACUCCAUUUAUUCCAAAAUUCGUAGCUGACCAUCCAUUCAUUUUUCUUAUCCGUGACAACAGGAAAAAUACAAUUCGAUUCGUGGGGCGCUUCUGUAAACCCGAAAAAAAUUAAAACAUCAAAAAUAUCCAAAACAUAUUUUCUUGUUAAUUCGAUUGUGAUCACAGCCUCCCAUUUAAAUUCUACCAUUAGUUUCACUUAUCGUACGCUAGAUGGGUCUGAUAAAAGAAAAACAAAAUAAACAAACACUGUGCGUUCAUAGCGGUUUACUUCGUGGUGCGUGUGUUGAUCAAAAUGUUUUUACUUCAUCAGUUGAAUGGAAAACGAUUAUUACUGGUUGGUGAAGGCAACUUUUCCUUUACAAUAUCAUUACUUCUGAAAAUCUCUGGAAAAAAAUCAACAAAGUUGUCGACAUCGCCUAAUAUAAUAUCAUCUUGCUUUCAAAAGUAUAGAGAUCUUUCUUGCUCUAUCAAAGAGAAUGCCAGAUUUGCUUGUAAACUAGGAGCUGAAAUUUGGUUUGGCGUGGAUGCAACAAUUUUGCACCAACACGAGAGAUUCAAGAAUGAACUAUUUGAUUACAUUGUAUUUAAUUUCCCUCAUGUUGGAGGAAAAAUGAAACUACAUCUAAAUCGUCUGUUGCUCAAAAAUUUCUUCGCAAGCGCCAACUUCUUGUUAAGUGAGGAAGGGAAAAUAUUAGUUACAUUGUGCAAAGGACAGAGUGGAACACCAUAUGACACUGAAAGAAAAUAUGGAGACACAUGGCAAAUUAUUGAAAUGGCCACUUAUGGAGAACUCAUACUUAAUGAAGUUCAUCCUUUUCGCUCAUGUGACUGGCCAGUGUACAAUUCAAAUGGUUACCGAAGUCUAGAAAAAGGAUUUCAACUGGAUGAAGCUCUUACUUUCAUCUUUGUAAGGAGGCCCUUAAGUAUUCAAUGUCAAGCCACCAUCAACAAGGAAGAAUUCAACCAUUUACACUGCCCCUACGUUCAAAACCAUUUGGACCAACUAGAAAAUAGUAUUUUUGAAGAAAUUCAUCUUUUUUAUCCCUUUUUCAGAAGAACAAAGGAUGCAUUAAAUGUGUGCAGAACUCUGAAAACUGCCUGUAUUUGCCAGCACAACGCAACAAUCGAUUGGUGGGAAAUGGUUCUUAGUGAGAAAAAAUACUAUGAUAUAAUGUGCUGCUUGUUGUGCUAUUCAUGUUGGCAAAUGCACUCUAAUGCAAGUGCAAAUCCCGUUCAAAAAGUUAUUGUAAUGAAUUGUACAUCAGAAUUUGAUGAUUCUUUGCUUUCCUUCCUUCGUCGUCGGUGCGCUCAACAAGUAGAAGAAGAUUCGUCAAUUAUUCACUUCGCAGAAACGGGAAAUUCUCUAAAAAUCGCCACAGUUUUCGCUAAUAAGGACAAUAAGACAUUCACCGUAGCUAUUUAUGUCGAUGCGUUUCUUCAGCUAGGAGCAAACUUUGUUGAUCCUGGGCUUUCUUUCCCUUUUAAAUCUGAUUGGUUGACGUCAAACAAGUCUUUAUAUCCACCAGUAUGUUUUCACGAUCUCUGCUUUUGGAUAUCGGACGAUUUUUCACCAAGACAUUUUGCUUGUGCACUACUCUAUGUUGCAGGAAAGAUUGUUAAGAGUUUUAAACUUAUUGAUGAGUAUUUUUGUUCAAUCAAAAACAAGAAAAGCUUAUGUUAUCGAAUUGAGUAUCAAUCGCUAUUUCAAGCUUUAAGUCCACAAAAAGCCUUUCAUGUCCAAAUAAAUUUAAUAAAGCCCUUUUUGGAAGCCUGCCUUGGUGUAACAGUUCGUUAACGUCCGUUAACUGGCAGCCUUAUCCGUUAACAUUUCAAGUACGAUGUAAAUCACACCUUUCUUGUAGUGCUGUCCUAUGCACACAUUACACAUACAUUGUUUGUCUUUUUUA
RNA transcript from Daphnia pulicaria, 3073 nucleotides. It is a transcript of the gene named mitochondrial ribosome-associated GTPase 2-like, with no coding region annotated. Lineage: Eukaryota; Metazoa; Arthropoda; Branchiopoda; Diplostraca; Daphniidae. The record is from RefSeq and is a predicted model, not a curated record. The transcript is spliced from 7 exons.